Syngnathus acus (greater pipefish) is the source of this 750-nucleotide long non-coding RNA. RefSeq lists it as uncharacterized. The transcript has 2 exons. The record is from RefSeq and is a predicted model, not a curated record. NCBI's taxonomy places the organism in Eukaryota, Metazoa, Chordata, Actinopteri, Syngnathiformes, Syngnathidae.
CAAAGACGUAGUCAUAAGAGAAGCCCUGUCUGUGGAAAAGGUUCCUGAAGAGCUGCCUCAGGUACGAAUAGUCCGGCUUGUCGUCGAAGCACAGGGAGCGGCAAAGGUUCAACUCACCAUUUGAUCAGCCAGCAGCAGGACGGUUUUCAAGCUGAACUUGCGGGAGCAGAAGUUGAACAGGUCCUCCAAACUGGGGCCCAGCAGCUCCAUGACCAUCACGUUGUAAUCGCCCUCAGCUCCACACCACUUGAUGGACGGGAUACCCACUGUGGGGAAUAUUUAAGGAUUAUAAUUUCAAUAUUACAUAGUCAAAGCUUGACUGGCCUCUGUGAGCCUCACCUCCUCCCUGCAUCAUCUUGUAGAAUUUACUCUCAAUGUGAAGCUGCGGAUGUUUGGUCUUUACGCAUUCCAGCUUGAUGGCCACUUCCUCUCCCGUGGUGAGGUUGGAACCUAAAGAGGAGCAACAUGAUCAAACUGAAAUUCUAAUAUUGCAUGUUUAUUAGGAGGAUGAGAAGAACAGGGAAACUCACCGAGGUAAAUGUCUCCAAAGGAACCGCUCCCUAUCUUCCUCCCGAGGCGGUACUUGUUUCCCACUCGCAACUCCAUGGCUUUCUUAACUGCUCCAACUGACUGGAACACACAGUCGCUGUGAUUCGUCACCAGUGAUUAGACCUUAAAAGUCCAACCCUGAGGUUCAAGGCUCAAACAUCACCUGUGCAUUUCAAAAUCUUUUAUAUUAGGUUCAUGAAA